GGAUUAGAUACCCUGGUAGUCCACGCUGUAAACGAUGAUCACUCGUUGUUUGCGAUAUAUUGUAAGCGACUGAGCGAAAGCAUUAAGUGAUCCACCUGGGGAGUACGUCGGCAACGAUGAAACUCAAAGGAAUUGACGGGGGCCCGCACAAGCGGAGGAACAUGUGGUUUAAUUCGAUGAUACGCGAGGAACCUUACCUGGGUUUAAAUGUAGGUUGCAUGGAUGGGAAACUGUUCUUUCCUUCGGGACUACUUACAAGGUGCUGCAUGGCUGUCGUCAGCUCGUGCUG
RNAcentral lists this ribosomal RNA (289 nucleotides) under uncultured bacterium. Its description in RNAcentral is "partial 16S ribosomal RNA". It matches the Rfam family "Bacterial small subunit ribosomal RNA", at positions 775 to 1067 of the family's 1533-position model. The record is from RNAcentral.